UACGGCUACAUCUCGUUGAAACUCCAGUUCCCGUACGAUCAUCGAAGUUAAGCAACGUCGAGACUGAUCAGUACCUAGAUGAGUGACCGUUUGGGAAUACCAGGUGCUGUAAG
This 113-nucleotide ribosomal RNA is filed under the name Acanthosepion pharaonis. Lineage: Eukaryota; Metazoa; Mollusca; Cephalopoda; Sepiida; Sepiidae. The record is from RNAcentral.